GGAUUUAUCAGUUGGUCGGGCUUCACUGUCCGUAUUGACUCGAUGGAUUCUUACCUUCUGAAUAAUCAGCAUGCUAUUAAGUUAGUGCGUUGGAAAAUUAGUGCUUAAAGCGAGCUAGUGCUUGAAUAGAUUAGCAUGGAAUAAUAAAAUAGGACGGCAUGGUUCUAUUUUGUUGGUUUCUAGGAUCACCAUA
This 193-nucleotide ribosomal RNA is filed under the name uncultured Acaulospora. RNAcentral describes it as "partial small subunit ribosomal RNA". Lineage: Eukaryota; Fungi; Glomeromycota; Glomeromycetes; Diversisporales; Acaulosporaceae. The record is from RNAcentral.